Molecule: ribosomal RNA, 556 nt
Filed under: uncultured Bacillus sp.
Lineage: Bacteria; Bacillati; Bacillota; Bacilli; Caryophanales; Bacillaceae
Description: bacterial SSU rRNA
Rfam family: Bacterial small subunit ribosomal RNA
Source: RNAcentral
UGCAGUCGAGCGAAUCAAUGGGAGCUUGCUCCCUGAGAUUAGCGGCGGACGGGUGAGUAACACGUGGGUAACCUGCCUGUAAGAUUGGGAUAACUCCGGGAAACCGGAGCUAAUACCGGAUAACAUUUUGAACCGCAUGGUUCAAAAUUGAAAGAUGGUUUCUGCUAUCACUUACAGAUGGACCCGCGGCGCAUUAACUAGUUGGUGAAGUAACGGCUCACCAAGGCAACGAUGCGUAACCGACCUGAAAGGGUGAUCGGCCACACUGGGACUGAAACCCCGCCCAGACUCCUACGGGAAGCAGCAGUAGGGAAUCUUCCCCAAUGGACGAAAGUCUGACGGAACAACGCCCCGUGAACGAUGAAGGGCUUCGGGUCGUAAAGUUCUGUUGUUAGGGAAAAACAAGUACCAGAAUAACUGCUGGUACCUUGACGGUACCUAACCAAAAAGCCACGGCUAACUACGUGCCAGCAGCCGCGGUAAUACGUARGUGGCAAGCGUUGUCCGGAAUUAUUGGGCGUAAAGCGUACGCAGGCGGUUUCUUAAGUCUGAUGUG